Kogia breviceps (pygmy sperm whale) is the source of this 1458-nucleotide non-coding RNA. The record is from RefSeq and is a predicted model, not a curated record. NCBI's taxonomy places the organism in Eukaryota, Metazoa, Chordata, Mammalia, Artiodactyla, Physeteridae.
GCUGCCGUCCGAGCGUAGUGUCCUGACCGGGUCGUCCGUUUCUCAGUGCGGACCCGGGAUCCUCAAAGAAAAAGGGAGUGAGGAUAAAGGGAAUGUAGAGUUGAGGGUUUGUUUUUUCUUUGUUUCCCCAGUGUGGAAAGGAAUGGAAGAUGUUCAGUGCACCUGCACGUGACCCCAAAAUUUAGUCGGGAAGCUGGGUGUUUCACCUCCAGUGAAAGCAAGUGGGCGUGAUAGGAGAGGCUUGGAAAAAGAUCGAGCAGGGGAAGAGAGAGAUGUCGGCAUCUUCUCUCCCUCCUGCAUAAGACCCUUCCAGUAUGUAAUCACUGACCUGGAGAAAUAAUGCCCGAGUACAGAGUACGGGGCAGAGUUCCAGGUGUCACUGUGCACCCAACCCCCACGAGCUUUGUGAUUCAUCGCAAACGGCCGAUCCGGAAGGAUGAGUAAACUCCGCAAGUACAGUCGUGUCACAGGAAAUAAGUGACCAUGGUGCUCAACAGUUUGGAUAAGAUGAUUCAACUCCAGAAAAACACGGCUAACAUCAGGAAUACCUGUGUUUUGGCUCAUGUUGACCAUGGAAAAACUACUCUGGCUGACUGUCUUAUAUCUAGCAAUGGCAUCAUCUCCAGUCGCCUGGCAGGCAAGGUAUGUUAUAUUUGAUAUAUACCUGCAUUUCAGUAAGUAUUAGCAAAUUUACAAUGUGUUGAGUCCUUCGUUGUGUUCCUAAAGAUCGAAAAAGUAUGAAGCAUAGUUCAUGCAUCUAAGAAGCUGGCAAUUCAUUUAGCAAGAUAAAAUAGAUUGUUGAGAUAAAGUUAUUUCUAGAUUGCUUUAUGUUACUUUAUAUUAAUAUUUUAUAAAUGCAAGAAUGAGUUUUUGCAACCAAUCAUUUGAAAACCUGGCAUGACUGUGGAAAAUUUCACAGGUGGAAGAGAUGCUUCACAGUGGGUAAUAAUGUGGAUAAAAUGCAUAAAGGCUAAUUUGUGGAUUGUGCUUGAUUUGAGUGGAACGUUUGCCUAUACUGAGAGAGAAAAAGGUGCAGGUAGAAAAAAUGUAUCAGAUUACAGAGACCUUGAAGGCUAACCUAAGUACCAAAGAAGGCUUCUGAAGCCUGAGGGUCAUGAUGAAGAUCAUGUUUUACGAAAUGAAAUGAUAGAGACCUUUGUUUUUAACUGUGAACUGAAAGAAAUUGGAAUAAUUUAUUUGCAGUAGAAAGGUAGAGAUGUUCCUCCCUUCAGUGAAUUUACAGUAUAGUCAUCUGGAUUUAUCAGGUGACUGGUAACAUAGAGAAGAGGAGACAGAGAAGCAAAAUUGAAUUUAAAAAGUAGACCUAAGAUACUGAAGGAAGACUUGGGCACUUGAGGCACAUUGGGUGAGGAACUGGCCCAAGAAACUGUCUAUAGAAGGCUAAAAAAACUGGGUUGAAUGAAAUAAUAAGGUGCUUUUAUUUUUCCCAGUUGAGAA